AAUCUAUAUCGAACAUGUUUCUUGCCUUUUACCAGAAACAUCCGGGCACUGUCUCC
This 56-nucleotide small nuclear RNA is filed under the name Eremothecium gossypii ATCC 10895. RNAcentral describes it as "AgSNR7 (AGOS_AgSNR7)". The stretch from base 7 to 44 matches the Rfam family "U5 spliceosomal RNA", at positions 20 to 57 of the family's 117-position model. Rfam says of the family: U5 RNA is a component of both types of known spliceosome. The precise function of this molecule is unknown, though it is known that the 5' loop is required for splice site selection and p220 binding, and that both the 3' stem-loop and the Sm site are important for Sm protein binding and cap methylation. RNAcentral also lists the same sequence under 1 other name. Lineage: Eukaryota; Fungi; Ascomycota; Saccharomycetes; Saccharomycetales; Saccharomycetaceae. The record is from RNAcentral.